This 1548-nucleotide ribosomal RNA is filed under the name Triticum aestivum (bread wheat). RNAcentral describes it as "partial small subunit ribosomal RNA". Lineage: Eukaryota; Viridiplantae; Streptophyta; Magnoliopsida; Poales; Poaceae. The record is from RNAcentral.
AUGAGGCGUUUUGUGAGAGAUUUCAGCACCAUUGCUGCACCUCUCAACGAGCUUACAAAGAAGGAUGUGCCUUUUGUUUGGGGUACCGCACAGGAAGAAGCCUUCACGGUAUUGAAAGAUAAGUUGACACAUGCUCCUUUACUCCAACUUCCUGAUUUUAAUAAGACUUUUGAGCUUGAAUGUGAUGCUAGUGGAAUUGGAUUAGGACGUGUGUUAUUACAAGAUGGCAAACCUGUUGCAUACUUUUCUGAAAAAUUGAGUGGGCCUAGUCUGAAUUAUUCUACUUAUGAUAAAGAAUUAUAUGCUCUUGUUCGGACUUUAGAAACAUGGCAACAUUAUUUAUGGCCCAAAGAAUUUGUUAUACAUUCUGAUCAUGAAUCUUUGAAACAUAUUAAAAGUCAAGCUAAACUGAAUCGUAGACAUGCUAAAUGGGUUGAAUUCAUUGAGACUUUCCCUUAUGUAAUUAAACACAAGAAGGGAAAAGAAAAUGUUAUUGCUGAUGCAUUGUCUCGUCGCUAUACUAUGCUUUCACAACUUGACUUCAAAAUAUUUGGUUUGGAGACCAUCAAAGAUCAAUAUGUGCAUGAUGCUGAUUUUAAAGAUGUAAUGCAGAAUUGUAAAGGAGGAAGAAUGUGGAACAAGUUUGUUGUUAACAAUGGAUUUGUGUUUCGUGCUAACAAGCUAUGCAUUCCAGCUAGCUCCGUUCGUCUUUUGUUGUUGCAGGAGGCGCAUGGAGGAGGAUUAAUGGGACACUUUGGCAUGAAGAAGACGAAGGACGUACUUGCUACACAUUUCUUUUGGCCAAAGAUGAGACGGGAUGUUGAGCGGGCUGUUUUGAAGAAUAAUAAGAAAAUGUGGGAGGAAUGCUUGCCUCAUAUUGAAUUUGCUUAUAAUCGUUCAUUGCAUUCUACUACUAAGAUGUGCCCUUUUGAAGUUGUGUAUGGUUUCCUACCUCGUGCACCUAUUGAUUUGUUGCCUCUUCCAUCUUCGGAGAAGGUUAAUUUUGAUGCUAAACAACGUGCUGAAUUGAUUUUAAAAAUGCAUGAGUUAACUAAGGAAAACAUAGAGCGUAUGAAUGCUAAAUAUAAACUUGCUGGAGAUAAGGGUAGAAAACAUGUUGUGUUUGCACCUGGAGAUCUUGUUUGGUUACAUUUGCGUAAGGAUAGAUUUCCUGAUUUGCGCAAAUCAAAGUUAAUGCCACGUGCUGAUGGUCCCUUUAAGGUGUUAGAGAAAAUAAAUGAUAAUGCAUAUAAACUUGAGCUGCCUGCAGAUUUUGGGGUUAGUCCCACUUUUAACAUUGCAGAUUUGAAGCCUUAUUUGGGUGAGGAAGAUGAACUUCCGUCGAGGACGACUUCAUUUCAAGAAGGGGAGGAUGAUGAGGACAUCAAUACAAUUGUUACACCCACAGCCCCUGCUGCUAUACAUACUGGACCAAUUACUAGAGCUCGUGCACGCCAACUAAAUUACCAGGAAACAGACCCUCAUGGUCAGGUUGAUCGUGCUCCGGCGUGGUCAAUAACCUCUCGGAGUUGGUUUAGCGAUUGCUAA